GACGAACGCUGGCGGCGUGCUUAACACAUGCAAGUCGAACGGAAAGGCCUCUUUCGGGGGGUACUCGAGUGGCGAACGGGUGAGUAACACGUGAGUAACCUGCCCUUGACUUUGGGAUAACUUCAGGAAACUGGGGCUAAUACCGGAUAGGAGCUCCUGCUGCAUGGUGGGGGUUGGAAAGUUUCGGCGGUUGGGGAUGGACUCGCGGCUUAUCAGCUUGUUGGUGGGGUAGUGGCUUACCAAGGCUUUGACGGGUAGCCGGCCUGAGAGGGUGACCGGCCACAUUGGGACUGAGAUACGGCCCAGACUCCUACGGGAGGCAGCAGUGGGGAAUAUUGCACAAUGGGUGGAAGCCUGAUGCAGCAAAGCCGUGUGCGGGAUGACGGCCUUCGGGUUGUAAACCGCUUUCGCUCAUGACGAAGCUUUGUGUGACGGUAGUGGGUAAAGAAGCACCGGCUAACUACGUG
Molecule: ribosomal RNA, 467 nt
Filed under: uncultured bacterium
Lineage: Bacteria
Description: partial 16S ribosomal RNA
Rfam family: Bacterial small subunit ribosomal RNA
Source: RNAcentral